UAUUGGACAAUGGGGGCAACCCUGAUCCAGCAAUGCCGCGUGAGUGAUGAAGGCCUUCGGGUUGUAAAGCUCUUUUGUUAGGGACGAUGAUGACGGUACCUAACGAAUAAGCCCCGGCUAACUUCGUGCCAGCAGCCGCGGUAAUACGAAGGGGGCUAGCGUUGUUCGGAAUGACUGGGCGUAAAGGGCGCGUAGGCGGCUUAAUAAGUUUGGUGUGAAAUCCCUGGGCUCAACCUAGGAAUUGCAUUGAAAACUGUUAAGCUAGAGACUAAGAGAGGGAAAUGGAAUUGCGUGUGUAGAGGUGAAAUUCGUAGAUAUACGCAAGAACACCAGUGGCGAAGGCGAUUUCCGGCUUAGAACUGACGUAAGGCGCGAAA
This 377-nucleotide ribosomal RNA is filed under the name uncultured bacterium. RNAcentral's name for it is "bacterial SSU rRNA". It matches the Rfam family "Bacterial small subunit ribosomal RNA", at positions 362 to 758 of the family's 1533-position model. The record is from RNAcentral.